Molecule: long non-coding RNA, 570 nt
Filed under: Homo sapiens (human)
Lineage: Eukaryota; Metazoa; Chordata; Mammalia; Primates; Hominidae
Description: non-protein coding lnc-FHOD1-2:2
Source: RNAcentral
AAGCCCGCCCGCCCGCUGCUGGAGCCGCGACCAUGGAGGAGUCUGGCAUGGCUCAUGAAUCAGCAGAGGACUUGUUUCAUUUCAACGUAGGGGGCUGGCAUUUCUCAGUUCCCAGAAGCAAACUCUCUCAGUUUCCAGACUCCCUGCUGUGGAAAGAGGCUUCAGCCUUGACCUCUUCAGAAAGCCAGAGGCUAUUUAUCGACAGAGAUGGUUCCACAUUUAGGCACGUGCACUAUUACCUCUACACCUCCAAACUCUCCUUCUCCAGUUGUGCAGAACUGAACUUGCUGUAUGAGCAAGCAUUGGGUUUGCAGCUGAUGCCUUUGCUGCAGGACUUUUGAGGGAGAAUGGGUCCCUGGGUAAGGGCGGCACGAAGACCGCCCUGGGCUUCAGGCUUGCCUAGUUGGGGUGCUCCACUCCAGCCUCAGCCCACCUCUGGUCGCCUGAUCCUUCAAGCUGACAAGCUCUGGACUUGGAAGACUGCUUGGGCGGGCCACAAAGCCUUUGACCUCAGCUGCCUCAUCAGUAAGACACUCACCAACCACAUCUGUCUCACAGAAUCAUGUCAUG